CCUACGGGGGGCAGCAAUUAGGAAUCUUGCGCAAUGGGGGAAACCCUGACGCAGCGACGCCGCGUGAAGGAUGAAAUCCUUCGGGAUGUAAACUUCUUUUAUUUGGGAAGCGGUACCAAAUGAAUAAGCCCCGGCUAACUACGUGCCAGCAGCCGCGGUAAUACGUAGGGGGCGAGCGUUGUCCGAAUUUACUGGGCGUAAAGAGCAUUAGGCGGUUUCUUAAGUGAGUGGUGAAAGGUUAGGGCUCAACCCGAACACUGCCAUUCAUACUGGGAGACUUGAGUACGGGAGAGGCGAAUGGAAUUUCUGGUGUAGCGGUGAAAUGCGUAGAUAUCAGAAGGAACACCCAUGGCGAAGGCAGUUCGCUGGCCUGUACUGACGCUGAGUGCGAAAGCGUGGGGAGCAAACAGGAUUAGAUACCCUUGUAGUC
Molecule: ribosomal RNA, 430 nt
Filed under: uncultured bacterium
Lineage: Bacteria
Description: partial 16S ribosomal RNA
Rfam family: Bacterial small subunit ribosomal RNA
Source: RNAcentral